UACGAAGGGGGCUAGCGUUGCUCGGAAUCACUGGGCGUAAAGCGCACGUAGGCGGAUCUUUAAGUCAGGGGUGAAAUCCUGGAGCUCAACUCCAGAACUGCCUUUGAUGCUGGGGAUCUCGAGUCCGGGAGAGGUGAGUGGAACUGCGAGUGUAGAGGUGAAAUUCGUAGAUAUUCGCAAGAACACCAGUGGCGAAGGCGGCUCACUGGCCCGGUACUGACGCUGAGGUGCGAAAGCGUGGGGAGCAAACAGG
RNAcentral lists this ribosomal RNA (253 nucleotides) under uncultured bacterium. RNAcentral's name for it is "partial 16S ribosomal RNA". It matches the Rfam family "Bacterial small subunit ribosomal RNA", at positions 524 to 776 of the family's 1533-position model. The record is from RNAcentral.